CCUACGGGAGGCAGCAGUGAGGAAUAUUGGUCAAUGGACGCAAGUUUGAACCAGCCAUGCCGCGUGCAGGAUGACGGCUCUAUGAGUUGUAAAUUGCUUUUGUCCGAGGGUAAACCCCGAUACGUGUAUCGGGUUGAAAGUAUCGUACGAAUAAGGAUCGGCUAACUCCGUGCCAGCAGCCGCGGUAAUACGGAGGAUCCGAGCGUUAUCCGGAUUUAUUGGGUUUAAAGGGUGCGUAGGCGGUUGGAUGAGUUAGAGGUGAAAUGUCGGGGCUCAACCCCGAAAUUGCCUCUAAUACUGGUGGACUAGAGAAUUGUUGCGGUAGGUGGAAUGUAAGGGGUAGCGGUGAAAUGCUUAGAGAUCAGACAGAACACCGAUGGCGAAGGCAGCUCACCAAACAAAAUCUGACGUUGAGGCACGAAAGCGUGGGUAGCAAACAGGAUUAGAUACCCGAGUAGUC
RNAcentral lists this ribosomal RNA (460 nucleotides) under uncultured bacterium. RNAcentral's name for it is "partial 16S ribosomal RNA". It matches the Rfam family "Bacterial small subunit ribosomal RNA", at positions 338 to 795 of the family's 1533-position model. The record is from RNAcentral.